RNAcentral lists this ribosomal RNA (550 nucleotides) under uncultured bacterium. RNAcentral's name for it is "bacterial SSU rRNA". It matches the Rfam family "Bacterial small subunit ribosomal RNA", at positions 355 to 893 of the family's 1533-position model. The record is from RNAcentral.
UGGGGAAUAUUGGACAAUGGGGGGAACCCUGAUCCAGCCAUGCCGCGUGUGUGAAGAAGGCCUUUUGGGUUGUAAAGCACUUUAAGCGAGGAGGAGGCUACCGAGAUUAAUACUCUUGGAUAGUGGACGUUACUCGCAGAAUAAGCACCGGCUAACUCUGUGCCAGCAGCCGCGGUAAUACAGAGGGUGCAAGCGUUAAUCGGAUUUACUGGGCGUAAAGCGCGCGUAGGUGGCCAAUUAAGUCAAAUGUGAAAUCCCCGAGCUUAACUUGGGAAUUGCAUUCGAUACUGGUUGGCUAGAGUAUGGGGAGAGGAUGGUAGAAUUCCAGGUGUAGCGGUGAAAUGCGUAGAGAUCUGGAGGAAUACCGAUGGCGAAGGCAGCCAUCUGGCCUAAUACUGACACUGAGGUGCGAAAGCAUGGGGAGCAAACAGGAUUAGAUACCCUGGUAGUCCAUGCCGUAAACGAUGUCUACUAGCCGUUGGGGCCUUUGAGGCUUUAGUGGCGCAGCUAACGCGAUAAGUAGACCGCCUGGGGGAGUACGGUCGCAAGA